Molecule: ribosomal RNA, 253 nt
Filed under: uncultured bacterium
Lineage: Bacteria
Description: partial 16S ribosomal RNA
Rfam family: Bacterial small subunit ribosomal RNA
Source: RNAcentral
UACGUAGGGUGCAAGCGUUAAUCGGAAUUACUGGGCGUAAAGCGUGCGCAGGCGGUUUUGUAAGUCUGAGGUGAAAUCCCGGGGCUCAACCUGGGAAUUGCGAUCGAUACUGCAAGGCUUGAAUCUGGCAGAGGGGGGUAGAAUUCCACGUGUAGCAGUGAAAUUCGUAGAUAUGGGGAGGAACACCGAUGGCGAAGGCAGCCCCCUGGGUCAAGAUUGACGCUCAGGCACGAAAGCGUGGGGAGCAAACAGG